CCACAAAAAUAAAAUUAAUAUUAAACAGCAUCUUAUUGAAAAUUUCUUUUACAUUCAGCAUUCAAUUAAAAAAUAGGAAUCAGGAGAUGGGCUAUACGCAUCAUCAAGGAAACAUGUACCCAUGAAAUACAAAAUCAGAAGGCAUUGAUAAUGCAAAUAGCAUCGAGUCUAAUCAAUAGAGCCAAAAAGAAGGCCUCUCAAUCAUCUCAGCAAACAGGACCCCGAAUCUUCUGCACAGUAGCAUCAUCAUGAAGGCAGAAUCAAUACUCUUAUCGUUUCCAUUAGAAACAAUUGUAUAAAACAUCCAUGCAGCAAUGCCAAUUUGAAUUCCUACAUGUAAGAAAUAGAAUAUGAGAAGAAAAGGUGAAGGGGACUAUUGCAGGUUCGAUCCUUACUGAGAAAUUUAGUCCAUACUAAUGACAAAUUAACUCGGUGAAGUGACAAAAGUCGAUUAAAAGUAGAAAAGAAAAUGUUUUUCCAUAAAUUACUGUAACCACAACAAUAUUAUGAAUGGGGCCAUUCGAUGGUUCAUGAAGGUGGAAUAAAAAACUGAAGUAGCAUUUCCGCUUGCAAGCUCUUGUGCACUAUGGCAUUUUAAUCUACCCUUCAGCAGGAGGUCUGCUAAACAAGUAUGUAAAGCCAUAUCAGAAUCAGAAUCAAUGCCCGGAUGUUCCCAAAGGGCAAAGCCACAAAGCUAUAGCACCUUUCCAGCCAGUCGUUCCAACAACAAUGCUUAAGAUAACGAACCUUGUUCAAAAACAGAGAGCUAAGCCCCAAAUGAUCUAUCUCUUCAAUCUGCUUUCCCGAGCGGUGGAUUCAUUGUCUUUUAAUCAUCUACCUACCAUUGGCGUGAUAGUCAAUUAGCAUGAGUUAUAUAGUUGGUGUUAACAAAGUUGACCAGAACUUAUCAAAGAAAAAGAAGUUUCAAAAUAUUGCUCCCUUACCAUGAACUGUUGUUCAAAGCUGGCCUCUAAGCUAUUUAACAUAUUAAGGAAGCAUUUUUAUCAUAUUUUUACUAUAAUUAGUAGAUGGCAACGAGGCAUAUUUGACGAGAAUUGUCCGGACUCCGGAACAUAUCUCAUACCCUUAACCAAGUGUCAAAUGUAGGAUACGUACAUACAGCCAUACAGGUACUCAAAAGCAUUUUGCUGCAUACAUAGGUCCAAAGAUAACACAUCAAAUGAUUGAAGAUGAUUCUUGGGGAUUAUUUAGAAGUGGAAUGCAUUUUUUCAGAAAGUUGUAUUAUUAUGUGUAUUAUCAUCACAUAUAUUUAAUAAAAUAAAAGGGAAAAUAACUAGAGUAAAUGGGAGAUGCAAUAAAUGAGGAUAUUUUUUGGCCAAGCAGUUUUAGAGGAUGAGGGUCCAUAGGACCAUAACCUCCAUCCUUCUAUGCCAACAACUCCAAGAACUUCAAAUCAAAAGUAGCGAAACUUUCUUUUUUAUUUUAAAAAAUUUAAAACUGAACUAGAAUGCAUUAUUAAAUUUUUUUUUUAAAAAAGCAAGAUAAAUUCAUGAUGAAGAAAUGUCAAAGGAUGCCAGUGAUGAUGCAAUCAAAGAAUACAAAAUAGAGAUGUCAGAAGAGGAGGAUGCAAUGUCAUCUGGCCAUUCCAAACUGGGGCUUAAUAUGUAUCCUUAUCAAUAUGUGGGUUGGCAAUGGCUGGAACUGACAAGGAGAGUAACAAAUAUUUAAUUUAGAGCAGAAGCACCUUAAAAAAACUGACAAGAAUGGUUUACACAAACGUACCUUCUGUUGAAAUUUAUGUUGCUAUCAUAACUCAAAAUCGUAGAGAAAAUAGACUGCAACCCUCUGUUAAUGAAUACCGCCUGUGUGAUGUUGGGAGCAUUACGGUCUUGGAUAAUCGGGGCCCAUCAACUGCAGAAUAGAGAUACUCCAUGUUUUCAUACGAUCAGAAAUUACAAUCUCACAAAAAACCCAAAAAAUCUUGCAGGACAUUCAGAAAGGGCGAAUUUGGGUUAUAAUGAGCCAAACAAGUUUUUGACUUGGUUUCCAUUUCUCAGAACAACAGUAUUCGGAAAUAAAAUGGACUAAGCUUUGGGUAACUUAUAUAGGGAGGCCAUUCUUUUUGCUGCCAUUGGAACCACAUAAUACGUAUCCAGAUUUCUACUAUGACCGGCUGUUAAUGGCAUUAUCUCCAACUAAAAAGAAUAAAAGAAAGUAACAUACAGUCACACAAACACACACUCAACCACACAUGUGAAG
This 2220-nucleotide long non-coding RNA is filed under the name Panax ginseng (ginseng). Its description in RNAcentral is "long non-coding RNA (PGIN_LNC008740)". The record is from RNAcentral. Lineage: Eukaryota; Viridiplantae; Streptophyta; Magnoliopsida; Apiales; Araliaceae.